UUUUUCUCUAGAAUAAAAGUCAAGAGCUUGAAUUAAUAACAUUAACACUCUAAAUAUUGAAACUGAAGAGCAGGUGACUAAGUUAAAUUUUGAAAAUCCAAACCUAUUGAGUCAAUUAGAGAAAAGAGAUGAUGCUUAUGAUAGUGAAAAGAAUAAUUAUCUAGAGAGAACUAUAGAAGAUCAAAAUCUUGAAUUGAUAGCUUUGACUAUCGAG
RNAcentral lists this long non-coding RNA (214 nucleotides) under Capsicum annuum. Its description in RNAcentral is "long non-coding RNA (CANN_LNC001149)". The record is from RNAcentral. Lineage: Eukaryota; Viridiplantae; Streptophyta; Magnoliopsida; Solanales; Solanaceae.